ACAUUUUACGUUCUGUAAUCUCUUAUAAGUUAAAACCCCAUAAUUGCAUUGGAAGUGUGAAAGGAGAAUGUUUUGAUGUUGACACGAAAAAUUUAAAUAGUACAUAGCAAAGUUAAUAUCACCAUCGGAUCCCCAGCAGAUCGACUGUAUGAGGAAUUAUUUUGAUGUCCCAUCGCCGUUCUCUAAGUUUAAAUUACACACUAAAUAAUAAAAGUUAAUUAGAUAAUUCAUUGUACUUGUCACAUACUUUU
Molecule: long non-coding RNA, 251 nt
Filed under: Olea europaea (common olive)
Lineage: Eukaryota; Viridiplantae; Streptophyta; Magnoliopsida; Lamiales; Oleaceae
Description: long non-coding RNA (OEUR_LNC002638)
Source: RNAcentral